RNAcentral lists this transfer RNA (71 nucleotides) under Grammomys surdaster. RNAcentral's name for it is "tRNA-Gln". It matches the Rfam family "tRNA". Rfam says of the family: Transfer RNA (tRNA) molecules are approximately 80 nucleotides in length. Their secondary structure includes four short double-helical elements and three loops (D, anti-codon, and T loops). Lineage: Eukaryota; Metazoa; Chordata; Mammalia; Rodentia; Muridae. The record is from RNAcentral.
UAGGAUGGAGUGUGUAGGUAGCACGAAGAAUUUUGAAUUCUUAUGGGUAGGUUCAAUUCCUGUCAUUCUAG